CCUACGGGGGGCAGCAGUGGGGGAUAUUGCACAAUGGGGGAAACCCUGAUGCAGCGACGCCGCGUGUGGGACGACGGUCCUCUGGAUUGUAAACCACUGUCCCCAGGGACGAAGAUGACGGUACCUGGGGAGGAAGCUCCGGCUAACUACGUGCCAGCAGCCGCGGUAAUACGUAGGGAGCGAGCGUUGUCCGGAAUUACUGGGUGUAAGGGGAGCGUAGGCGGGACUGCAAGUUGGGUGUCAAAUCUACCGGCUCAACCGGUAGCCGCACUCAAAACUGCAGUUCUUGAGUGAAGUAGAGGCAGGCGGAAUUCCUAGUGUAGCGGUGAAAUGCGUAGAUAUUAGGAGGAACACCAGUGGCGAAGGCGGCCUGCUGGGCUUGUACUGACGCUGAGGCUCGAAAGUGUGGGGAGCAAACAGGAUUAGAUACCCGUGUAGUC
This 440-nucleotide ribosomal RNA is filed under the name uncultured bacterium. Its description in RNAcentral is "partial 16S ribosomal RNA". It matches the Rfam family "Bacterial small subunit ribosomal RNA", at positions 338 to 795 of the family's 1533-position model. The record is from RNAcentral.